This is a non-coding RNA of Falco tinnunculus (common kestrel), 271 nucleotides long. The record is from Ensembl. Lineage: Eukaryota; Metazoa; Chordata; Aves; Falconiformes; Falconidae.
GGUCAAUGAUGACUAGUAAAAGGUCUGAGUGCACAGGGGAAUUACACUCCAUUACCCUCCUGGCUCCCAGCAGUCCCUGUUCUGUCAUGCCAUAGUAGAGCUGUGAUUGAGGAAGAGAUUGCUGACAGUUUGGGAUUAAUUCAGUUCCAGUUCUCCACAGUGAAGGGAGUUGUGGCACUGAAUGUUAUCCAACAGAACUGGUUAAGAGGAGCUUGUGGUAGUGGGGUGUCUUCAUUUGUUGUGUGUGAUCUAAAGUUUUCAAGCUGAGACC